This 253-nucleotide ribosomal RNA is filed under the name uncultured bacterium. RNAcentral describes it as "partial 16S ribosomal RNA". It matches the Rfam family "Bacterial small subunit ribosomal RNA", at positions 524 to 776 of the family's 1533-position model. The record is from RNAcentral.
UACGUAGGGUGCGAGCGUUAAUCGGAAUUACUGGGCGUAAAGCGUGCGCAGGCGGUUUUGUAAGCCAGAUGUGAAAUCCCCGGGCUCAACCUGGGAAUGGCAUUUGGGACUGCAAGGCUGGAGUGUGGCAGAGGAGACUGGAAUUCCUGGUGUAGCAGUGAAAUGCGUAGAUAUGCGGAGGAACACCGAUGGCGAAGGCAAUCCCCUGGGCCUGCACUGACGCUCAUGCACGAAAGCGUGGGGAGCAAACAGG